CACCGCCCAUUGCUCCUACCGAUUGAAUGGUCUGGUGAAGUGUUCAGAUCGCGGUGACGUGGGCAGUUCACAACCGGCAACGUCGCGAGAAGUCCACUGAACCUUAUCAUUUAGAGGAAGGAGAAGUCGUAACAAGGUUUCUGGAGGUGAACCUGCGGAAG
This 161-nucleotide non-coding RNA is filed under the name Ricinus communis (castor bean). RNAcentral describes it as "Eukaryotic small subunit ribosomal RNA". It matches the Rfam family "Eukaryotic small subunit ribosomal RNA", at positions 1667 to 1823 of the family's 1831-position model. Lineage: Eukaryota; Viridiplantae; Streptophyta; Magnoliopsida; Malpighiales; Euphorbiaceae. The record is from Rfam by way of RNAcentral.